Long non-coding RNA from Amblyraja radiata (thorny skate), 892 nucleotides. RefSeq lists it as uncharacterized. The transcript is spliced from 2 exons. The record is from RefSeq and is a predicted model, not a curated record. NCBI's taxonomy places the organism in Eukaryota, Metazoa, Chordata, Chondrichthyes, Rajiformes, Rajidae.
UAUUAUCUUAUUUUAAUCUGUAACGUGCGAGGAUUAGCUCAUAGUUAUAAUAGGUUAUUAUAUUUAAAACGUUCGCAAAGACACUGACAGACAUAACACACAAGCAUACGUACAGAUAAACGCACGAAUCGUGAAAUAGAUGGAGAGAUAGAAUUGUUAAAGACAUUACAAAACGAAACCGUUUUAGGAAGAAACGACUUUUCGUAGCGUGGCUAAAGAAGUAAACCUAUCGUUUGCUUUCAAGUACUUAUAUUUAAAUUAUAUUGGAAAACAUUAUGGUCUGCUUUCAUCUAAAUUAUAAAGGGCGGGUAUGGCGGUGGGGCGGGAGAGGGGAUGAAAGCCAGGUCACGAUAUACAUAUUCGUUCUUCCCACGCAGUAUUUUAUAAAUAUACCAGCACCUAUUAAUAAUCGCGAAAUCUCAUUCGUGAACGAGGAAUUCAUGGGUACUGGAAGUUUAUUGAAACGAGUAAGAUGAAAAUGGUGGUGGUUUGCUAGGCCUCCGUUUUGCUUAUACCGCAAACAAAGCUGUAAGGAAGUAUGUGCGCUAUCAAUCUUGUUCGGCUACAGGUCUGACAGCUUCUGGCCCCAAGAACACAUUUAAAGCUUCUCACUGCAAUGUCGAAUAUCAUCAUGAGUGUGAGAACACUGUUUGCUGCUUAAAAUUGUUGCAGAUAAUAUUUUAUUGAUCUUCAGAGCAUAAGCAACGCUGCUGUAUUAUUACACGAAAGGCAUGUGGAUUAUGUACUGGAGAAGGAACGAGGCGAUAAUGGCAGUACAGCCCGGCUGGUGAUCUUUUGAGUGUGCAUUGUAAUAUCUGAACCUUUUAAGAUGUGCUAUGUACAUGUCUUGAUCAAACAAUCUAUUAUUAAUAAUUAAAGAAAAUUAAUCCAA